RNAcentral lists this ribosomal RNA (253 nucleotides) under uncultured bacterium. RNAcentral describes it as "partial 16S ribosomal RNA". It matches the Rfam family "Bacterial small subunit ribosomal RNA", at positions 524 to 776 of the family's 1533-position model. The record is from RNAcentral.
UACGAAGGGGGCUAGCGUUGCUCGGAAUCACUGGGCGUAAAGCGCACGUAGGCGGAUCUUUAAGUCAGGGGUGAAAUCCUGGGGCUCAACUCCAGAACUGCCUUUGAUACUGGGGAUCUCGAGUCCGGAAGAGGUGAGUGGAACUCCGAGUGUAGAGGUGAAAUUCGUAGAUAUUCGGAAGAACACCAGUGGCGAAGGCGGCUCACUGGUCCGGUACUGACGCUGAGGUGCGAAAGCGUGGGGAGCAAACAGG